Capsicum annuum is the source of this 717-nucleotide long non-coding RNA. RefSeq lists it as uncharacterized. NCBI's taxonomy places the organism in Eukaryota, Viridiplantae, Streptophyta, Magnoliopsida, Solanales, Solanaceae. The transcript has 3 exons. The record is from RefSeq and is a predicted model, not a curated record.
UGAAAAAUAUAUCAAAACUUGAGUGUUUUAAUGCAAUUGAAUGGAUUUUCAUUUGUGUUGAACAUUUGGCAAGAAAGGUGUGAUUGAGGAAGUGUAAGUUCCUUUGAUCUACCUAAGAGUGAGGUUUGAACUACCAUUGAUGAGGUGUUUUUGAAUGUUUGAGACACAUUCUUGUGCUAAUCAUUGGUGAUAGUUCAAGUUCGUACAACAUUUUAUUUGAUUCAUAUCAAACAAAAAUUGAUUCUGAACCAAAGAAUAUUCACUACUCAUUCACUUGCCGAGUAUUGCCAAGUUUUCAACACUUGUGAAAUCAAGUGUGAGGUACAUUUGACCAUGGAACCCGAGGGUUCUUCAUCCCAACCUUUGGGAAAUGAUAUUGUGGGGCCUUAAAGGCUCAAUUUAAUGCCUUUAGCCGAGAGUUGAAAGGUGAUAUAGAUGCUAUAAGGAGAGACAUAAAAGGUGAUACGGAUGCUAUGAGGAGUUAAAUUACAUCCUUGAAGGGUGGUGGGGCAAGAAUGAAAGUGGGGGUUGAUAGACUAUGUGGUAGACUAUGUCCAACAAAACCUCCAUAAGUCCAAAAAAUCUUAAAUAGUUCUUUAGAUUUCAGGACUAUUGAUACAGUCUACUCAGAUACAUUACGGAGCUCAAAUAGUUCCAUCAAAUUUAGGGCUUUCAGAUAUAGUCACCCAUAUUAUCAGUUAUAUCAGUUAUGUUAGC